CCGGGCGACCGGCGCACGGGUGAGUAACACGUAUGCAACCUGCCCUCUUCAGGGGGACAACCUUCCGAAAGGGAGACUAAUCCCGCGUAUAUCGGUUUCGGGCAUCCGAGAUCGAGGAAAGAUUCAUCGGAAGAGGAUGGGCAUGCGGCGCAUUAGCUAGACGGCGGGGUAACGGCCCACUGUGGCGACGAUGCGUAGGGGUUCUGAGAGGAAGGUCCCCCACACUGGUACUGAGACACGGACCAGACUCCUACGGGAGGCAGCAG
RNAcentral lists this ribosomal RNA (266 nucleotides) under uncultured bacterium. RNAcentral describes it as "partial 16S ribosomal RNA". It matches the Rfam family "Bacterial small subunit ribosomal RNA", at positions 87 to 354 of the family's 1533-position model. The record is from RNAcentral.